This is a long non-coding RNA of Biomphalaria glabrata, 3464 nucleotides long. RefSeq lists it as uncharacterized. NCBI's taxonomy places the organism in Eukaryota, Metazoa, Mollusca, Gastropoda, Planorbidae. The transcript has 13 exons. The record is from RefSeq and is a predicted model, not a curated record.
AACCUCAGCAUUUGUGCUUUUCACUAAGCUUUUUCAUCAUGGAUAUCCUUGGGCUCAAUAUUAGAUAACAUUUUGAAUAUUCUUUGUCCUCUUGGCUUUUGAUUAAGAUGAUGAAUAGAUCUUAUUCAAGAAAUGGAGUGCCAUACAAAUUUGUAAACCAUCUCUGAGUAGUAAAUAUGAAGAGCAGAACUAGUAGAGACUUAAAACAAGGCAACACGUUAGAAGAACCCUUGCUUUUUUUUUUUGAUUGUACUGACUUGUAUAUUUUAUGUAAUGUUUUCAAUAUAUAUAAUUAUAUAUAUUUUUUUACUUUUUUUUUUUCCCGAGGUCAAGGCAAAGUUUAUUCUAAGUAAAACAUCCUACACUUGAAGCACAAAUAUUUCAAAACUAUAAAACAACAGAUAUUGCCUUACAAUAACAAUUUGUCAUCCAAGCAACAAAUAUUCCUUGGUAAUCUGCUAUCAGAUGACAGUUAUCUCUUUGGCAUUUUUAUGAAUUAAAGCUUUCAAAGCCAAAUGUUUUGGUCAAGUUUCAGAUUUGUUUAGCAUAAUCCUGUACUACAUAUCAACAAAUGUUUGAUGGUUUGUCUGGUUCAUCUCUUAACACUAUGAAGAUGGCUACACUAAUCUUAACAAGCAAACAUUCUGUUGCCAACAGUACCAAUUUGUCAUCCUAUCCAAGCAACUACUAUUCCUUGGUAAUCUGCUAUCAGAUGAUUACAGUUUUCUCUUUGGCAUUUGUAUGAAUUAAAGCUUUCAAAGCCAAACCUUAGAUUUGGUUAGCAUAACCCUGAACUGCAUAUUAACAAAUGUCUAAUGGUCUGUCUGGUUCAUUUCUCAACACUAUGAAGAUGGCUACACAGGUAUCAGCUAUCAGCAGUGCACCCCUAUGAUACACAAGUCUUCAUUGCCAAGUCACUCUGCCAAACAGUGUGUACACCUUUCUUGCAUUGGUAGUGACCCACUUUACUGUCUUUCAAUGUCAUGAGUCUGGAUAUGUCAGGCCAAGGAGAUCAAGUUUGUGUCCAAGGUUACUUAGUUAAUUCUCUAAGAACAAUAGACAGACUCUACAUGCUACUGAUCUGGAGGUUAGUGGCUCAAUCAUUGUGCACUGAUUCUUCACUGAUGCCUUGAUUCUCCACUGUCAACUUUAUUGUCAUAAAGUUUAUCUAGUGAUCUACAUAUCAAGACUAAAUGGUCAAUUAAACAUGAGGUCAAGGAAAAAGGAUGAACAUUUCAAGGCUACAGAAGGAACAUUAAACGUCUCUCUCACUGUGAAAAGAUUCUACCGAUCUACAAAUGAUCAUGUUUUAUCUUAAGUUCAUCUGCCAUUUCUUCAAAUGGAGCCAUAGUCAGAAUAAGUUUCAUUAACAAUAUACUUGAAAUGUUUAAUCUCACUUCUUUUUACUGAAGUCAUUUCAGUUGUAAAUUAUUUUGUGCAACAAGUUACCGGAAAAAAGUCAAGCAAGAGAGGUCACUACUCUAAGACUGUCUUCUCAUAAGAAUGGAUUGUUUUCUCAUAAGAAUGGAUGGCUGCCUGGUCAUGUGGUAUGUGCACUGGACUGUUGUGGGGUCAUCUUGAUGCUCAUAUCUUUCCUGAUGCCAUUUAUUCUGCUGGACGUUUGGUCAAGGAAAUAGAUUCUCUUCAGCUCUCAAGGAACAUUCAAAACAUGUCAAACAUUUGACAAGAAUAUCAAGCAAGUGCAGUGUACAUACCAACAUGAUGAAAAGGUAGACAACAUGAAGAUGUAGACCAGCAUGAUGAUGUAGACCAGCAUGAUGAAAAGGUAGACAACAUGAAGAUGUAGACCAACAUGAAGAUGUAGACCAACAUGAUGAUGUAGACCAGCAUGAUGAAGAUAGACCGACAUGAAGAUGAAAUGUAAACCAAAAUAUUGAUCAACAAUAGGGAAUGUGAACAUCCUGAGAAGUAAAACAAUUCCUAGAGGCCAAGACACAGUCACAGUAGAUACAUUAGAGAUUGUUUCCUUUUCUACCAUCAUUUAGAGCCUUCCUUGUGCUCUAAGGGAACCUGCCAUUAUGUUUUGAUUGCUAAUUGAAGUUGAUUUUACAUACCUAGUGCAUCUGAAAGAAAUGAACAUUUCCCUAAUGCUACUUCAAAACCAGGCCUUCUCAAGACAAUCUUAGUGACCAAGCUGCAGUAGGAAACAAGAAUCCUCCCAACCUCAGGCUGAGUACCCAUGCUCACCUACUAGAGUGGCGACACAUACUUCUCCUAGUUAUACAUCCUGAACCCUGUAACCCAACCUCACAACACGGUUACAUUACUAGAAAUGGUCCUGAAGUUAGGAAAACUAACAGAUACAAUAAAUAGAACAAUCAUUUCUAAUACAGGUACAACUAGUCAAGUGAUGUACUUUGUAAGAACUAAUCAGUUGGAAUUACCAUAAUUGACUUGUAUCUUGUUCUGUAUUUAGGUAUAUCUUGACAAUCAGUCCAGUCAUUUGUUCAUUUUUUUUUUAAUAUUCCUUUUUUUCCCCCUCAAUCUUCUUGUUUCAGUUCAAUGUUAUUAUAUUUUUUGUUUUUGGAGGAGGGAAGUUCUAUGGUAUAGUAUCAUUAUUAUUAUUGUAUUAAGCAAACUUGUAUAUGUAUGUUUAUUCAUGAAUACUAAUGAAGAACAUCACUUCUGGGUCAUCUACCGAAAAUGUUGUAAACACUAUACAUGUCUUCAGUUAACUUUAGAUAUUCUAUAGUCAUAACACCAAAGCCUUGCUACAUAUUGCUUAAUUCAAUUUAUUAUCUCCCCUGCUUUUGUGUGCUAUCAUAUUAAAUGUUCAUUAGUGUCACAUCCCUGCACAAUUUGUUCUAUGCUCUUUAUAGUGUAAAUAGUGACUUGACAUUAUUUAGCUCUACUAAAAUAUUGUUAUAUUAUUAUAUUUAAGAUAAAACUGUUAACAUUUACUAUGCUGUUAUUAAUAUAAAAGCUUUGCAGUUUUGAGGUUUAGUCUAAGGACAUCACAGAUGAGAAAUGUAGUUACACUCCCCUUAACAGUUCAAACUAAAAUGUUCCAUAAACAAAGAGUGUAUUGACAGACUUCACUAAAGCAUUGAGCUCAUCCCCUUAGUCUAUUUAAAACUUUCAAAUACUAAUUCACUUUGUCUUAUCUAAUGGUGAUGUCAGUUUUAAUUAUUGUGUACCUGGGACUGCCUGUAAGUUUCAGAAUUAUUUUUCUUUUUUUAAUUUUACUAUAUGUAAAUCUAUUAUUUAAUUUUUUAGCAAUAUAUGUUACAUUAUUUUUCUAAUUGGAACAACUGUCAAAAUAAUUGACUGUCAAAAUAAUUGACAUGUUUUUAAAAAUAUGGCCAAGCCACGCCCAGUGCUGUCUUAAUGGCCACUUCCAAUGUUUAUGUACUAGAUUUUGUCCUUAUGAUUUUUUUUUAGCUGCAGUGUUUUGUAAUUGCUGCUUUAGUCAUUGAAAUUAAAGUCUCAUUUUUUUAAAAUUU